RNAcentral lists this long non-coding RNA (343 nucleotides) under Helianthus annuus (common sunflower). Its description in RNAcentral is "sRNA HanXRQr2_Chr04g0181511". Lineage: Eukaryota; Viridiplantae; Streptophyta; Magnoliopsida; Asterales; Asteraceae. The record is from RNAcentral.
UUUCCAAUCUUCUCUUCUAUCUUCUACUUUAGAGGUUCCUGAUCAUUUUGGGAGCUUCCUUGAGUUCAAGACUUCACCUUGGAUCACUAGUACCAAAAUCAAAGAGCUAAAAUUGCAUAAUGUAAAAGUAUGGAGGAGGCAAAGCCGUUGUUGGGCUUUAUACUGCUGGGUUGCUGGACUUAUUUACCGAGCUGAUUCUGUUGAGUUACUUCUGGGCUGCUGCUUAGUUAUAAUGGGCUCAGCCGAUCAGGUGUAUGACGACUAACGGACUAAAUAUAUAAUAGCCCAAUCUUAGCAUUUACCUAUAUAUUAAUAAACGAAUGAAUAAAAAGUUAUUUUUGUA